CUGGUAGUGACAGAGUCCCAGUUGGUGGUCUUUCAAAAUUAAAACUGGUAAUAGCCCGACAUGGUCCUGAUUCUGACAGAAUACUCCAGUAAAGAAAAACUACAAGAACGUCUUCUGAAAGCAAUUAAUUAUUCAAAAGGAUUUGGCAUGCUCUGAUAACACAAUUAUUUGUAUAGGAAAUUGCUUCAUAUAUAGGAACUGUGAAAUUUUUUUAACAUAAAUUAAAUAAUUGUUUGUGUAAAAAAAUUUUUUUCCUGUAGAAAUUUCAAAUUUUUAAUAAUCUUCAUCCCUACAUUUUCUGCACAUUAAAAUGACAAUAUAAUUUAAACCUAUAUUUUCCUCAAAAGUAUUUUGUCAAUUAGGUAUCAACGAUUGUGUCACUAACAAAAUUUGUGUGAAUCAUUUUUUCCAAGUACAGAUGUUAUAUUUUUAACAUAACCUAAGUAAAACUUUUAUGUAAAUGAAAUUAAUAUUUGAAAAACUUUGUAAUUAUUGCUAUCAUCAAAUGUGUAACAUGAUGAUAAAGAAACUUUUGUUAUAAUGUUUCUUUGUAUAUAACAAAAGUAGAAAUAAUUCAUAAAUAUAUUGCCAGAAGAUAUCUUAAACUUCUAAGUUUAUUGGUAUACUCAGAGGAAUUGUGUCUUGAUUCAGACACAUGUAUAUAGAUUAUGUACAAUUUGUGCUGUUUAGUCAUUGAUUAGAAAUUUUGAAAAUAAAUUUGUUGACAUAAAACCAAAA
This is a long non-coding RNA of Centruroides sculpturatus (bark scorpion), 738 nucleotides long. RefSeq lists it as uncharacterized. The transcript is spliced from 2 exons. The record is from RefSeq and is a predicted model, not a curated record. Lineage: Eukaryota; Metazoa; Arthropoda; Arachnida; Scorpiones; Buthidae.